AGCUCUCAAAAUGCAUAGAACCAUUGCUGCGGUUAAAAAGCUCGUAGUUGGAUCUGUGCUAGGGACUCGGUCCACCUUCGGGUGUGCACUGAGCUCCUUGGCUUGAACUGUCGGUUCGUCCGUUCGUGGCCUUCACUGGUCGCGUUCGGUGGCUGACGAUUUUACUUUGAACAAAUCAGAGUGCUUAAUACAGGCGUUUCGCUUGAAUGUUCUUGCAUGGAAUAAUAGAAAAGGAUUUCGGUUCUAUUUUAUUGGUUUUAUAGACUGAGAUAAUGGUUAACAGAGACAAACGGGGGCAUUCGUACCGUUGCGUGAGAGGUGAAAUUCUUGGACCGCAGCGAGACGAACUACAGCGAAAGCAUUUGCCAAGAAUGUCUUCA
RNAcentral lists this ribosomal RNA (380 nucleotides) under uncultured eukaryote. RNAcentral describes it as "SSU rRNA". It matches the Rfam family "Eukaryotic small subunit ribosomal RNA", at positions 587 to 972 of the family's 1831-position model. The record is from RNAcentral.